UACCAGCACCCCGAGUGGUCGGGACGAUUAUUGGGCCUAAAGCAUCCGUAGCCGGUCCUACAAGUCUUCCGUUAAAUCCACCUGCUUAACAGAUGGGCUGCGGAAGAUACUAUAGGGCUAGGAGGCGGGAGAGGCAAGCGGUACUCAGUGGGUAGGGGUAAAAUCCGUUGAUCCAUUGAAGACCACCAGUGGCGAAGGCGGCUUGCCAGAACGCGCUCGACGGUGAGGGAGUGAAAGCUGGGGGAGCAAACCGG
RNAcentral lists this ribosomal RNA (254 nucleotides) under uncultured bacterium. RNAcentral's name for it is "partial 16S ribosomal RNA". It matches the Rfam family "Archaeal small subunit ribosomal RNA", at positions 474 to 727 of the family's 1478-position model. The record is from RNAcentral.